Molecule: ribosomal RNA, 253 nt
Filed under: uncultured bacterium
Lineage: Bacteria
Description: partial 16S ribosomal RNA
Rfam family: Bacterial small subunit ribosomal RNA
Source: RNAcentral
UACGUAGGGCGCAAGCGUUGUCCGGAAUUAUUGGGCGUAAAGAGCUCGUAGGCGGUUUGUCGCGUCUGCUGUGAAAACCCGGGGCUCAACCCCGGACUUGCAGUGGGUACGGGCAGACUGGAGUGUGGUAGGGGAGACUGGAAUUCCUGGUGUAGCGGUGGAAUGCGCAGAUAUCAGGAGGAACACCGAUGGCGAAGGCAGGUCUCUGGGCCACUACUGACGCUGAGAAGCGAAAGCAUGGGGAGCGAACAGG